Coturnix japonica (Japanese quail) is the source of this 5820-nucleotide RNA transcript. It is a transcript of the gene named multifunctional ROCO family signaling regulator 1, with no coding region annotated. NCBI's taxonomy places the organism in Eukaryota, Metazoa, Chordata, Aves, Galliformes, Phasianidae. The record is from RefSeq and is a predicted model, not a curated record.
CCCAUGGCGAGCAGCAGCGGCGGCAGGUAGGGCGGGCGGGCGGCGCGGUGCCCGCUCCCCGGCCAUGGCGCUGACGGAGCCCCCGAAGGCGGCGCGGCUGUGGCGCGACGCCGCCCUGCGCGCUCGGAAGCUGCGGGACGGCCCCGGCGAGCCCGAGCCCGAGCCGGAUGAGGGGCCUCCGGGGGGCCCGCCGCCGCCACCCGCGGCCCGCCGCCCGCCGCUGGGAGAGCUGGAGGAGUUGAACCUGAGCGGGCGGGGGCUGGAGGAGCUGCCCGAGGAGGUGGGCGCCGCCCUGAGCGGGCUGCGGGUGCUCAGCCUGAGGCGCAACCGGCUGUGCCGCCUGCCCGCCGCCGCCCUGCGGCACCUGGGCCGCCUGGCGGAGCUGGACCUCAGCCACAACCGGCUGCGGGGCCUCGGCGACGGCAGGGCGCUGGCGGGGCUGCGGGGCCUGCGCAAGCUGAGCCUCAGCCACAACGAGCUGGGCGCCGAGAGCCCCGGCCUGCCGCCCCGCCUGGCCGAGCUGCCCUGCCUCGAGGAGCUCGACCUCAGCUUCAACCGCCUGCGCCGCCUGCCCGAGGGCCUGGGCUGCCUGCGGCACCUCCGCGCCCUCGACGUCGAUCACAACCUGCUGCCCUGCUUCCCUGCCCCGCUGCUGGAGCUCGCCGCCCUGGAGGAGCUCGACUGCUCCGGCAACCGGCGCCUGGGGGCCCUGCCCGAGGGCAUCUCUGCCCUGCGCCGCCUCAAGAUCCUCUGGCUGAGCGGCACGGGGCUGUCAGCCCUGCCCGAGGGCCUCUGCCAGCUGGGCGCCCUGGAGAGCCUCAUGCUGGAUGGCAACCAGCUGCGGACUCUACCCGCCGGCUUCAGUGGCUUGCAGCGGCUCAAGAUGCUGAACCUCUCCUCCAAUCUGCUGGGUGAGUUCCCUGCUGCCAUACUGGCACUGCCAGGGCUGGAGGAGCUCUACCUGAGCCGCAACCAGCUCGCUGUGCUGCCUCCUCGCCUCUGCCAGCUCCGCCAGUUGCGCACCCUCUGGCUGGACAACAACCGCAUCCGCUACCUGCCCGACUCCAUCGUGCUCCUGCACAGCCUGGAGGAGUUGGUCCUUCAAGGCAACCAGAUCGCCAUCCUGCCCGAGGGCUUCGGGCAGCUCUCCCGUGUCACCCUGUGGAAGAUCAAAGAUAACCCCCUCAUCCAGCCCCCCUACGAGGUCUGCAUGAAAGGCAUCCCCUACAUUGCAGCCUACCAACAGGAGCUGGCCCAGUCCCAGCCUGCCCUCAAACCCCGUCUCAAGUUGGUCCUCAUGGGGUUGAAGGACGCUGGCAAGACCUUGCUGAGACGAUGCCUGAUGGAGGAGGAUGGGCAGGAGGAUGCGGGAAGCCUGGAAGCAGGGAAUGCCCAGCCCCGAGGGUGUCCUGGGCAACAGCAGGACAGUGGCAGAGCAGCGGGGUGCUGCCCCAUCCCUGAGGAUGCUUCCGAGCGGCAGAAAAAAUGUUCUCACGUGCCAUCCCACCAAGGGAAAGGAGAAAGGCCGUGCCCUGCGCCCUCACUGCCUCCGGAUGCCUUCCAGGUUUCAUCAAGACUGCGACUUUCGGGCAGCAAGGGCAUUGAGGUGACGGACUGGACUGCAGAUGUGGAGAGGGGCCUGACAUUCAUUGUGUAUGAGCUGGCAGGGGACCCGACCUAUUAUGUGGUCCAGUCCUUCUUUCUUUCUCCCGGAGCGCUCUAUGUGCUGGUGGUGAAUCUGAGUGCCUAUGUCCCUCAGCAUUUCUACCCCUCCGUGGGCUAUUUCUUGCACUGGCUGGGUUCCAAGGUGCCCCACGCUGUGGUGUGCAUGGUGGGAACCCACGCUGACCUCUGCGCUGAGCGGGAGUUGGAAGAGAAGUGCCUGGACAUUCAUCACCAGAUUGCCCAGCAGGAAAAGAGGGAUGCUGAGGACCUCCAGAGCCUUGUUCAGCAGGUAGACGAGGCUCUGGGACAGGACUUUGACCUGCGCUGCUCCAGCCCUCACACUGCCUUUUAUGGGGUCUCGGACAAGAACUUGAGACGAAAAAAAGCCCAGUUUCAGUAUCUUCUCAACCACCGGCCUCAGAUCCUCUCUCCUGUGCUGCCUUUCAGCUGCUGGGACCACUGCCAGGUGCGUCGCCUGCGGGACAAACUCCUCUCGGUGGCUGAGCACCGUGAUAUCUUCCCAAACCUGCACCGGGUGUUGCCCAAAUCCUGGCAAGUGCUGGAGGAGCUGCACUUCCAACCACAGGCUCAGCAGCUGUGGCUGAGCUGGUGGGACUCUGCCCGGCUGGGCUUGCAGGCGGGCCUGACAGAGGACAGGCUCCAGAGCGCCCUGUCUUACCUGCACGAGAGUGGGAAGCUGCUCUACUUUGAGGAGCACCUCACGCUGCGGGAGUAUGUGUUCCACAACCUGCCGCAACUCAUCGACAUCCUCAAUGUUUUCUGCCAGCGGGAUGCCACUGUGCUGCUCCAGAAACUUCUGAGUGAUACCCACGUUGAUGAGCUGAGGGCCACUCAGCUCCAUCAUUAUGUGGAGGGCUUCUUGCUGCAUGGCCUCCUCCCUGCCCAUGUUAUCCAUCUCCUCCUCAAGCCCCAUAUCCAGAGCCGGGAGGACCUGCAGCUCAUCCUGGAGCUGCUGGAGAAGAUGGGGCUCUGUUACUGUGUCAACAAACCCAAAUCCAAGCCUUUAAAUGGGGCAGCCGCUUGGUACAAGUUUCCCUGCUACGUGAAGAAUGAGGUGCCCCAUGCAGAGGCGUGGAUCAACGGCGCCAAUCUGAGCGGACAGUCGUUUGUGGUGGAGCAGCUACAGGUUGAGUACAGCUUUCCCUUCAUUUUCCCACCCGGCUUGUUUGCACGCUACAGUGUCCAGAUCAACAGCCACGUGGUUCAGCGCUCAGAUGGCAAAUACCAGAUCUAUGCCUACCGGGGAAAGGUGCCGGUGGUGGUGAGCUACCGGCCUGCCCGGGGAGCCCUGCAGCCAGACACGUUGUCUAUUGCUAGCCACGCAUCCCUACCAAAUAUCUGGACAGCUUGGCAAGCUAUUACUCCCUUAGUGGAAGAACUGAAUGUCCUGCUCCAGGAAUGGCCGGGCCUGUACUACACUGUGCACGUCCUCUGUUCAAAAUGCCUUAAAAGAGGGUCACCCAACCCACACAGUUUUCCAGGAGAACUGCUGAGUCAGCCAAGACCAGAGGGACUGACGGAGAUCAUCUGUCCUAAGAACGGCAGCGAGCGAGUUAAUGUUGCCUUGGUUUACCCCCCCACUCCUACUGUGAUCAGCCCUUGUUCCAAAUAAAUCAUCAGUACUGGUGCCAAAGGUUUUCCACCGGGGAGGAAUGUGGCUGAUGCUCUACAGUGCUCCCAUCUCCAGUUGUGGAAUUGCAUGCUGACAAGGAUCGGUGGUAAUUUGGGACUCUGAGAUGCCACAGGGCAGGGGCAGUUCGCAGGUUCAGGCUUCAUGGCUGGAGUGGACAUGGUCACCUGCAAGCUGGGGAUGACAACGAGACAGUGAGCAAAGCAAUUGCUGCAGAUGGCAGGGCUGCCAUCCAGAAGAAAAGCACUGGGGAAAGGAUUCUGUGGACCCAUUGAUUGCGUAUUGAAACUCAUUGGGAUCUCAUGAUGAAUGUAAAAUUGUUCUUGGUACCAUUUACUUCAGACCUGCUUGGAGGAAAAUCUCUUGAAAUGAACUGUAGCAGAAUUCCCUGGAUUUGUUCCUGGACAAGAAGAAAAUAGUGAUUUAUUGCUGAGCUGUUGCGUGAAGUCCACAUUGCAAAGAUAUCGCCCACUGGAAUCCUUCUCCAGACAGGAGAUCAGCUUCCCUGUGCGCCCAGCUGGUGUGGGAAUCAGGAGUGCUAAAGGAGCAAGAGGACAAAGCAGACACCUUACAGCCCGCUCCAUGGGACUGCAGCCCUGCUGCCACCUCAUCAGGAGCUCAGCGUUACCUGGCCUUUGCAGGCAGCAGGCACCCAGCCUGUUCCAUGUACUGAAGCCAUAAUGCUGGGAGUAUGGCAGUGUGGAGAUCAGUCGAGUUACUUAAUGUGAAAUUGGGAUCACUCAUCCGCCCACUGUUUAGUAACUGGUGUAACUGUUUUCAUCUUUUUUUUUUUUUUUAAUGUGCUAAAGCCAUUUAAUUUUCUAUGCAGCUCAGAAAUGUCUCCCCUUUGCAACUGCCAAGUGAGAGAUCUGUGCAGGAAAACCGUGCCAAGUGGCUGCCAGCCCUUUUGGUUUUGCUGCUUCUCUCUUUUAAGGAUGUAUCCUGGAAUCCUCUGCACACAGCAUCCCUUUGCUGAGCUCCUGUCUCUUAGACUCCACGCAGCAUCACUGAGCCCCAGGGAUUAGUGCCCUGUAUGUCUGAAGGAACUUUCAUUUUUCUUGAAUCAAGCCUUAAGGAAAGAGGGCUUCAAGAUGUUGUUCUAAGAGCAGAGAUAUCCAGUUCAGAGCAUGCAUUCCUACUCUGCCCUUGUCCUCACUUUGAAAGUUAUCAAACUGUUAGAAAAGGGCCGAGGCCUCUGCAGAGCACCCUGCAGACUUUACAGCAAGCUUACAAUGAAGAAAGAGGGCAAAUAGGACUGGGGCAUCAGUUGUCUCCCUGUGGAACUGAUGGUGACUGUAACCCCUUUGGAAGAGGAGAGGAAUCUCCUGACACUUGAUCCUCACUUCACUCAAGAGGGCCGUGUGCUGGUUUUGCUCAUUGGUUUGCAGACCUCUUGCUUGCUAACCAGUUGAUUUCAUGUUAAAACUGGUGCACAUGGACUUGGGAGCAGACCUGUAGGGCUUUCAGCACCUGGAGCUCAUACUGGAGUAUCUUGUGUUACUUAGAAGCAAAACGUGGGAUUCAAACAUGCAUCCGUCCAAAUGAAACUCUUGCAAUAGCAACCUUGCCUUCUGCUGAGUCUGUGUAACACUGAAGAAACUGCAUGUCCCAAAGCAGCAUCCAGAUACGUUGAGGUAGAGCCCAAAGGGUAACAUGGUAUAUCUAGCUCAUCUUAGGGCUUGCAGGAGUUCUUGGAGCCUUCUGACAACUGCAGGGGAACCUAAGGGGUGUGGGAUCACUCUGUUUUAACUCUGUUGAAGGCAACAAGGUCAUAGAAAUAAGAUGGGUUCAGCCCGCUACACUGCCGAGAUGGAUUUGACUAGUGCCCUUUCUGCAUUUUGUCUCUGCUCUGAGUUUGGGAGAUUCAACUUUAAUGCAGAACAGAAAAUGACAUCAGAUUGGGGGUUAUCCUGCCUUGUGGCCUCUGAAAUCAAAAGGAUGAGACUGGGAUCUGUGGAAGUACACGUUCUCUCCCUUGCAGCAUCCUCAGGUGUGCUCGGCUGUGCCGUAGCACUGGAGCUUACGUAGGAUCCCUGUCCCUUUCCCAUUUCUCCUUUGGUCUUCUGAUCUAGUUAAAGUUUGUCAGAGCAGCAGGAGUCCCUUGCUGUGAAAGGCAGAUGUGGCUUUGUUAAAGGGAACUGCAGAUGUUAUUUAGGAGUUCACUAAGUGAUGUGGAAACCCUCCAGCUCGCUCCUACAGAGCCAGAUGCUGGAGCUCAGCUCCAAUCUUUGGUUGGGAUCUUGGGCUGCCAUCCUUGGAAGGGCAGUGUGGGGAGUUGGAGAUGCUGCACCGCAGUAAGCACAAGAAGAGCCAAGGCCUCAGUGUAGCACUCACCACGCGCUUCGUGGCUCAGUUAAUGAACUGUAAUUGCAGGUAUUCACAUAAAUCUGCGUACCUGGGCAGGAUUCUGCGCACACACACACAUGCAUGCCCAGACGUACACGCACCGCACCGACACAUCCUCACCAAAACAACAAAAUAAAAGUGAUUCUGAAUCUCAAGGA